This 348-nucleotide unclassified non-coding RNA is filed under the name soil metagenome. RNAcentral's name for it is "partial contains 5.8S ribosomal RNA, internal transcribed spacer 2, and large subunit ribosomal RNA". The stretch from base 1 to 120 matches the Rfam family "5.8S ribosomal RNA", at positions 35 to 154 of the family's 154-position model. The record is from RNAcentral.
GAUGAAGAACGUAGCGAAAUGCGAUAAGUAAUGUGAAUUGCAGAAUUCAGUGAAUCAUCGAGUCUUUGAACGCACAUUGCGCCCCCUGGUAUUCCGGGGGGCAUGCCUGUCCGAGCGUCAUUGCUGCCCUCAAGCACGGCUUGUGUGUUGGGCCCCCGUCCCCGGUUUCCCCCGGGGACGGGCCCGAAAGGCAGCGGCGGCACCGCGUCCGGUCCUCGAGCGUAUGGGGCUUUGUCACCCGCUCUGUAGGCCCGGUCGGCGCCAGCCGACACCCAACUUUAUUUCUAAGGUUGACCUCGGAUCAGGUAGGGAUACCCGCUGAACUUAAGCAUAUCAAUAAGCGGAGGA